CACGUGGGUAACCUGCCCAAGAGAUCGGGAUAACACCUGGAAACAGAUGCUAAUACCGGAUAACAACAGAUGAUGCCUAUCAACUGUUUAAAAGAUGGUUCUGCUAUCACUCUUGGAUGGACCUGCGGUGCAUUAGCUAGUUGGUAGGGUAACGGCCUACCAAGGCGAUGAUGCAUAGCCUAGUUGAGAGACUUAUCGGCCACAUUGGGACUGAGACACGGCCCAAACUCCUACGGGAGGCAGCAGAC
Molecule: ribosomal RNA, 248 nt
Filed under: uncultured Lactobacillus sp.
Lineage: Bacteria; Bacillati; Bacillota; Bacilli; Lactobacillales; Lactobacillaceae
Description: partial 16S ribosomal RNA
Rfam family: Bacterial small subunit ribosomal RNA
Source: RNAcentral